UGCAAGUCGAGCGAGACCUUCGGGUCUAGCGGCGGACGGGGUUAGUAACGCGUGGGAACGUGCCCUUCUCUGCGGAAUAGCCACUGGAAACGGUGAGUAAUACCGCAUACGCCCUUCGGGGGAAAGAUUUAUCGGAGAAGGAUCGGCCCGCGUUAGAUUAGAUAGUUGGUGGGGUAACGGCCUACCAAGUCUACGAUCUAUAGCUGGUUUUAGAGGAUGAUCAGCAACACUGGGAGUGAGACACGGCCCAGACUCCUACGGGAGGCAGCAGUGGGGAAUCUUAGACAAUGGGCGCAAGCCUGAUCUAGCCAUGCCGCGUGUGUGAUGAAGGUCUUAGGAUCGUAAAGCACUUUCGCCAGGGAUGAUAAUGACAGUACCUGGUAAAGAAACCCCGGCUAACUCCGUGCCAGCAGCCGCGGUAAUACGGAGGGGGUAAGCGUUGUUCGGAAUUACUGGGCGUAAAGCGCGCGUAGGCGGAUUGGAAAGUUGGGGGUGAAAUCCCGGGGCUCAACCCCGGAACUGCCUCCAAAACUAUCAGUCUAGAGUUCGAGAGAGGUGAGUGGAAUUCCAAGUGUAGAGGUGAAAUUCGUAGAUAUUUGGAGGAACACCAGUGGCGAAGGCGGCUCACUGGCUCGAUACUGACGCUGAGGUGCGAAAGUGUGGGGAGCAAACAGGAUUAGAUACCCUGGUAGUCCACACCGUAAACGAUGAAUGCCAGUCGUCGGGCAGUAUACUGUUCGGUGACACACCUAACGGAUUAAGC
This 763-nucleotide ribosomal RNA is filed under the name Sulfitobacter sp. RNAcentral's name for it is "bacterial SSU rRNA". It matches the Rfam family "Bacterial small subunit ribosomal RNA", at positions 56 to 865 of the family's 1533-position model. The record is from RNAcentral. Lineage: Bacteria; Pseudomonadati; Pseudomonadota; Alphaproteobacteria; Rhodobacterales; Roseobacteraceae.